Molecule: ribosomal RNA, 233 nt
Filed under: uncultured bacterium
Lineage: Bacteria
Description: partial 16S ribosomal RNA
Source: RNAcentral
CUGCUGCCUCCCGUAGGAGUCUGGGCCGUGUCUCAGUCCCAAUGUGGCCGGCCAACCUCUCAGUCCGGCUACUGAUCGUCGCCUUGGUGGGCCGUUACCCCGCCAACCAGCUAAUCAGACGCGAGCUCAUCUCAGAGCGAUAAAUCUUUGACAGUCAGAGAGAUGCCUCCCAACUGUAUCAUGCGGUAUUAGCGGCUGUUUCCAGCCGUUAUUCCCCACUCCAAGGCAGAUUG